Molecule: long non-coding RNA, 5961 nt
Organism: Dreissena polymorpha
Lineage: Eukaryota; Metazoa; Mollusca; Bivalvia; Myida; Dreissenidae
Exons: 19
Source: RefSeq, a predicted model, not a curated record
CGGAAUUUCCACGCCUUAGCUCUCUUCAAAAGUUGAAAUUAAAAGUUGUGAAUACUUGAAUCAUUCCAAAAACUUAAUUUAAUGGAGACGUCUGCAAGGAAGCUGAUCUUGUGGUCUUGCUGCGUCUUCACGACAGCCUUAUGUGCGGACCUGCCCCUGUGACCUGUCAGGGGAAAAUAUUUUAAUUUUGAACCAAAGGCUCUCCGCCCCAGGAGAGGUAUUAGUGGCGGUCCGAGCAGGAUACAGGAAACGCCCCACUUCCAGAGGCGUUCCUGUUUCUUUAAAGUGCCCGGUGUAGAGCAACGAUACACUGCACCCCCGUUUAACGUCCCUCGCGGAAGACAUGUAGCGGCGAGUUCUCCUGUAUUCUCAAUUGCACCGGUGAUAACAACGCAAUUUUAUAAGAUGUUCCGUCCUAUCUGCGCUUAUGAGACCUUAUUUUGCCUGUGAAGGGAGCUAUGAAAAUGUCGACCAACGAAUUAACUGAAGAUUAUCUGGAAAGGCAAGUCCUGUUUUGGAGGAAAGAUAUCACGAGAUGCAUACAGAAACCGACCCUCGUCUCCCGACUUGCCGCUCUUGAUGUCAUCAGUCAAGAUACAUCGAUGAAGCACCAUGACGGUUAUAUAAAAAAUGAUGCUUUACUCGCUGCUGAAAAAUUGAUUAAAGCUGUCUUCAAGAGCAAAGCACCUAACAAGUGGUUUUCAUUUCUGCAAGCACUGGACGAGGAAGGAUUAGCGCAUUUAAAAAAACUAAUAGAGUUAGGAACCCAGGAAACGCGAGAAGAACGCGAACAUGGCCGAAAAAUGAUCCAGAUAUUUGCCCCUGAACUGGAGAGACGUGUUGACCCUCUCGAUUUGUUGGGUGACCUUGUUGCACGAGGUGUAAUAGAUGAUGACGACGCAGAUGCUGUUCGUGGGAUGCAAGCAAACAAUGGGAGAAGAUAUGCGGUUGUGUGCCUGUACAGACGAAUGCAGAGUCGUUUACGUCCUGCGCAAUGGUACUACGAGUUUCUCUGUGUUCUUCAAAUACAAGGAUAUACAGACAUUUUAGAAAUGAUGGAGCCGCAAUUUUUGAUAACACCCACUGCAUAUAUUCCAAAACCAGAGGAUGCUCGGGUACCAAAUAAGCCACCCAGAGAUUAUGCUGUGACUGAACAUGUUUUACAAGACUUACUCUAUCCCAGCCAGGAAACGAAACUGAAUGCCAAUCCGUCCAUCUGGAAUGCAGACUUUAAUAUUCAACAUGCAUCUGCUGUUGGCUGGUGUUUCGACCCCCUAAUUGAAACCAUGUCCUCUGAUUCGACUGCUUAUAAUAAGGAUCAAAUGCCUGUUGCUCUAGCCCACGACACGGAUUAGGGCUUUGUUAGAACUUAUGGUUUAUCUAGAAGACCUCCCGUUUCAUCAAUGUCAAUAUCAUCAGAAAGCUCUUCGCACACUUCUGAUAACGAUAGCAUUGACGACGGUCGUCCUCUUCUGGGUCAUGCUAAACGAAUUACCGCAGACGGAGAUGACAAGCGUUUGAAUCGCAAUUCUGCAACAUAUGUCACGUAUGUCGACAGUUCAUCGUCUCAGUUUGAUCAGUCAGAAGACACUGAUGCAUUCUGCACUGAUAAAGAAUCUUCAUUGUGUGACGACAGCGAAAAUAUGGAUGGUACAGGCAAUGGGUUAUACACAACGGUGUUCGAACAAUAUAAGCAAUUUAAGCAAGAAAGCGCCAAAUUUCACAGGAAAUUGACGGCAAAAGGGCUAGAGAUUGACCCAAACUUUGUUGGCAGAGCCGGGCUGUUUACUAAAAUCAUAGAAAUUCUUCAGAAACGUCCGGGGUUAAAUGGUCCAAGCUCCGAGAGACAUGCAAAAGGAGUCGUCUUGUGCGGACUGCCAGGUAUGGGUAAGACAAGUUUAGCAAUCCAGAUAUGUAACAACCUUUUGUGUGGUUCGACAACAAAUAUCGUUAGAAAAUGGAAUGUCAUCGUCGUCAAUCAAAGGUAAGCUUGGAUUGUAAUCUUGUCUUAUCAAAAUGUGGCUUGACGUUAUCUGUGCAUUCACAGCACAGAAGAAAGACAAAGGUAUACUGUCUUUAAAACAACGGUUUUAUUUCCCCGAGUUGGAUACUUUUUUACAACGUUUCGUAGAUUUACUUUCAGUAUUUGAAUAACAAGCGCUUUAAUCGUUGUUUCCAGUUUUGCAAUUAACAUAGUGGCAGGAUUUAUUCAACAUUUUUGCUAUUACUCCAUUAAUGUUUUUAUUGAUUCAUCUUUUCUCUUCCCAUUUAUGUAUCGAUACUUUUUGUUUCGCACUUUGAAACUUUCUCGGCAAAAGGGGCAAGCUCAGUGAGUAAUGGGUUUAAUUGAAAAUAAAGGAUUCUUCAUAACCUUUUAAGUUGUAGGUCAUACACUAAUUUGUAAGAAAAUAUCUCUAAUACAUGCCAUUCGUAUGUGCUUAAAGUGCAGCCAAUCGGCCUGGAUCUCCCUUUCCUGUUAAUGAAAAAUGUGAUAUGUUUACUUACCGCAAUAUAUCUGAAAUAAUUCUCUGAACAGCAAACAUUCAACUUACCGUUUCUAACAUCUUGGUGUGACGUUAUCAUGUAUUUUUUUACAUUUCCGCUACUGUUAGGGACAGAUCAGAGAUUGGAGAGCUAUUGUCCGAUAUCAUCGAGGGCAUUGGCAAAGAGAUGGGGAUGGAUGAUAUCAUCUGUGAGUUUAACUCCGUGACUUAUCAGAGAAAAAAUGUCAUGUCUCUUCUAGCAGAGCUAGGCAAGAGUAAAAGAGAUUACCUUGUACUUCUUGAUGACAUGGAUGGACAUUUAAAUCAUGAACACUCACCUUGCGAAGAGUUCCUGACAGAUAUCUUUGAUACUAUUGCAAAAGUGAACAAUAUACAAAUUCUUAUGACUGUGUGCAUGUCGAUGUCGAAAUCUGAUACAACUAAUGUUUGCGGUGGAAAGCCGGCCUUCAGAGGACAUCUGAUGGAAUACAAGGUUACCGGCCUAUCAUAUGAGGACGCGCAGAAAAUAAUUUCUCAAAUCAGCGGACGAGAAGAUGAGGUCGCCGUGGUUAGCAUGGGUGAUUUAACAAAAGCUGUAGAAUGUCAUAAGGCUGCAAAGGCAUCCAAUUGUACUAGACCCAGUUUUAUCAGUCAAAGAAUAGAAUUUGCAGCAAACAUAGCUGCAUGCUUUCAUCAGAUGGGAGUUAACACGAAGACUGAAGACGAUCGCAAGAAACAUUUCCACGAUGCGCUAAAAGAAUAUAAUAACUGCAUUAGUUUCAACAACCAAAUUGGAAUGGAGGAUUCCACGACCUGUUUGACAAUGCUUCGUAACCGUGCGGACAUAUUUUGUUACAGACGAACUAGAAAGAGCACUUACAGAUGGGAAAAAUAUACUGAGACUUGCAAGAAAACUUUACGUUUCUCCACACGUAGAUAUCACGAUGGCAAUAGAGCGGACAGCGUUUUACUAUUUCAAACUCGGAAAAAGCUUAGUGGAUGAAGACGGAAAAAAAGAUAAAGGAACUACUUUCAUGCACAAGGGUCUAGAGUUAUACGAAGACAUGUUAAGGGAGAUCUGCCAUGGUGGUCUUCUUCCUUUUGAAAACAACGACGAUCGAGAUAUCUUUUCUGAGCUGGAGGAGCUUAUAAGGAACCGUCUGGAUCCUGUUCAACCGAAAAUAGAUCAGUCCGUUUACGUUGAGGUACUUCGUCACAUUGAAAACGGCGACAGUUCAAUGUGUGACGGUCCAAAUAAUGUAGCUUAUCAGCAUUUGAUUGAAUGGCUACGAAAUCGGAGGAUGCAGCUUCCAACUAACCAGCACUACAGGAACGCGAAAGCAAAUCAUAUCAAACUGAUGGAGAAACUCGGUCUAAGUAAGAAAGCCAUCGAGAAAACUCAACGCAAGUAUCAGGGUUUCGAACUUGGAAAAUUCAACAAACUUUUGAGCAAACAGUACUCGUAUGUCCCCGAUUCUGAGGAACAGGAACGUGGUAGACAAGCUAUUGUAGCUGGUGCGGAAUUCAUGCUUGAUCCAGAUAAGAAUAUGGACGACUCAUCUAAUGACUGGACUGACACUGACGAGUCAGAAUCGAGUUCUGAUGAUGAUACUACUGCAGACACUCAUUAUGCUAUGGUUUAUCUAUGGAUGUGUAUUCAUCAUAUCGGUGUGCGGAAUACAUCGCCAACGUGUAGCUGGUUACCACUCAAAAGGCUACAUUCUUCAUCCGGUCUUUAUGAAGCGUGGUAAAAAUGUUUAUAUGAACAAUAUGUGAACAAUAUCAAGGCCUAGUUUGUAUCUGGCAUACGUGCGUCAAAUCUUAAAAAACCUUAUUACCACUCAAGAUGCCUCAUUUAUGACUCGACAUUUUAAAUCUUUGGCAAAAUAUUUACCUUGACAUUUUCGAGGAUUACUUAAAAUCUGGGUCACUACGUCACUACAUCAAAUAUUAGAAAAUCCGUAUUGUUACUCUAGGGACGACAUUGAUGACUCAAUCUUGACGAAACUCGGUCUGAAUAUUUUUCUUGACAAUGCUGGCCGAGUUCGAAUCUGCUUCGCGUUCGUUUAAAAACUAUGACACCUGGUCCAUGCUUACAAAAACCUUGGUACCACUCUAGGGUAUGGUGUAUGACUCACUCUAUAUCAAACUCGGUCAGAAUGUCUAUAUUAACAUUGUAUACAUUGGGUUUGAGUCUAAUUCAUGUGCGUCUAAAAACAAAUCAUCAAGUCAAAUCUUAUAAAAAAAAACCUUCGUUACCACCAUAAACGACACUUUUAUGACUCAGUUUUGAUGAAACAUGGUCAGAAUAUUUAUUUUCACAAUAAAUAGGCUGAUAUAUACGCUGAAUUUCAACCGAAGCGUUGUUCAUCGGCAGAAUUCUUUUAAUAUAUUUUCGGAAACGUAGUUUCUGUUUGAUGUUUUUCCAUCUCGUUUUUAUUUUAUCAACAAAUUUUUUUUUUUAAUGUUUUAUCAAUUAUAGAUAAUUUAAUUAGUUCAUUUUGUUAUAACUAACUUUCUAAAUAUUUUGUUUCAAUGUAUUUUAUGCGUUUUGGAUAUCAAGCAAUAUUUAUAUUUUGAUCUAAAUUUUACGUCAUUAUCAUUUUGACGUAAUAACCAUUCGGAUUUAGAGAAACUAACAUUUGUUAGGUAAAUAAGUAAAACAGUGUUCGGUAAAAUUCAAUUACAUUUAGUUUUAAACUCGGUGUAUAUAUUUUAACAAGUUUUUUUAAUUAUUGCAUUAUAUAAAUAAUUGUGUAGUAUUGUAUUUUUACCAAUUUAUGAAUGCAACAUGCAUAUUAUGACGACAACAAUCGCUUAAGCAAACGAGUAAAAUUAUAAAUGCUUCCUUGCGUUGUUUAUACGGUCAGACUUUAAAAAAGCACACGCAUUUCUAUUAAUACAAUAUACGCCCUAGCGUGCAAUAGUACAAAUAUUACUUAAUGGGACUAGGAUAGCACUGUAGGAAAAAAGGGCUUUUCCUGCAUCAUAUGUAACAUAAAUGCAUUACACGUAAGGUCAAAUAGCCCAUGAGCAGAAAAAAUAUGAAAGUGAAGCGAAAAUAAAUAAUAAUCCAUAUCGUCCAAAUGGCAUAUACAUUACGCCAUAUAACUUUUAAUAUUAAAAGGGUCUUACAGUUAUCUUCUACAAUAGAAGUAAUUAUCACCAUUUUUUAAAUUUUUAAAUUUAUAUAACUACAUAUCUUAUUGAUACAUGAUGACUGUAUAAAUUUGAUUAACAAGAUAUUGUCAUGAAUACGACAUGCAUCUGAUAACUCAUCUUCUAGAGCCAUAAACUAAGUGGCUUUCUACCAGCAUGUCACGUUGAAAUGAUUUUGUUCCAUUACUAUUUCAGUUUGGGAUUGCUGUUGGUAAAAAAGUACCAUACGUUGAUAUUUAAAAGAAUGUAUUAUGUGAGUAAUAUAGUGGAAUUUGGUCAAAGUCCACAUUUUAUACGGUGACAUGUUUGCAAGCUUCUC